CACGGAGAAUAAAAUGGAAUAAAGGAAAGAAUAGAAGUCCUUACUCAUAAGAUCCUGGUGAUUCUGCUCCCAAGAACUUUAUAAUGAGGAAGGAAUGAGAAGAAAUUGAAUAUUUGUGGUGCCCAGAGACCCUCUUCCCUAGCUCCAUGAAAGACAGCAGAGUUUGUCACACUGAAAGGUCCCUGCUUGCAGUGUUCUCUCGCUUCUCUCACACCCUGUUAUCCUGGAGUAGCCCAGCUGCUGAGGACAGGAAUUGGUGUGUAUCACAACAGUAUUACAUGAGGAAGUUACUAUGUCUCUUCAGCAGCUUUUAUGGAGAUGGGAACUUUUCCUUCAGAACACGGCAUCAGCAGUUUUGA
RNAcentral lists this long non-coding RNA (359 nucleotides) under Calidris pugnax (ruff). RNAcentral describes it as "lncRNA (ENSCPUG00000016354.1)". Lineage: Eukaryota; Metazoa; Chordata; Aves; Charadriiformes; Scolopacidae. The record is from RNAcentral.